Molecule: non-coding RNA, 72 nt
Organism: Phrynosoma platyrhinos (Desert horned lizard)
Lineage: Eukaryota; Metazoa; Chordata; Lepidosauria; Squamata; Phrynosomatidae
Source: the annotation of a GenBank genome assembly
GCCAGUGUGGUGUAGUGGUUUGAGUAUUGGACUACAACUCUGGAGAUUAGGGUUCAGUUCCCUACUUUGCCA